AUUUCCCUCUUUCUUUAGGCCUAACACAUGCAAGUCGAACGGCAGCACAGUAAGAGCUUGCUCUUACGGGUGGCGAGUGGCGGACGGGUGAGGAAUACAUCGGAAUCUACUUUUUCGUGGGGGAUAACGUAGGGAAACUUACGCUAAUACCGCAUACGACCUACGGGUGAAAGCAGGGGAUCUUCGGACCUUGCGCGAUUGAAUGAGCCGAUGUCGGAUUAGCCAGUUGGCGGGGUAAAGGCCCACCAAGGCGACGAUCCGUAGCUGGUCUGAGAGGAUGAUCAGCCACACUGGAACUGAGACACGGUCCAGACUCCUACGGGAGGCAGCAGUGGGGAAUAUUGGACAAUGGGCGCAAGCCUGAUCCAGCCAUACCGCGUGGGUGAAGAAGGCCUUCGGGUUGUAAAGCCCUCUUGUUGGGAAAGAAAAGCAGCAGGUUAAUACCCCGCUGUUCUGACGGUACCCAAAGAAUAAGCACCGGCUAACUUCGUG
Molecule: ribosomal RNA, 492 nt
Filed under: uncultured bacterium
Lineage: Bacteria
Description: partial 16S ribosomal RNA
Rfam family: Bacterial small subunit ribosomal RNA
Source: RNAcentral